CCGGAGGGUGCAAGCGUUUUCCUUCACCCUUUGGCGUAAAGAGUUCGUAGGUGGUAUGUUAAGUCUGGUGUUAAAGGCAGAAGCUCAACUUCUGUUCGGCACUGGAUACUGGCAAACUUGAAUGUGGUAGAGGUAAAGGGAAUUCCUGGUGUAGCGGUGAAAUGCGUAGAUAUCAGGAGGAACAUCGGUGGCGAAAGCGCUUUACUGGGCCAUUAUUGACACUGAGGAACGAAAGCCGGGGUAGCAAAUGG
This 251-nucleotide ribosomal RNA is filed under the name uncultured prokaryote. RNAcentral's name for it is "partial 16S rRNA". It matches the Rfam family "Bacterial small subunit ribosomal RNA", at positions 525 to 775 of the family's 1533-position model. The record is from RNAcentral.